RNAcentral lists this long non-coding RNA (286 nucleotides) under Vulpes vulpes (red fox). Its description in RNAcentral is "lncRNA (ENSVVUG00000028176.1)". The record is from RNAcentral. Lineage: Eukaryota; Metazoa; Chordata; Mammalia; Carnivora; Canidae.
CAAUAGAGACCAUAUGCAGCUCGCAAAACCUCAAAUCUUUACUGUUUGGUCCUUUACAGGAAAAGCUUGCCAACCUCCUGAACUAGACCAAAUUUUACCCCUACUGUAUGAACUAUGCUCAGGCCUGCUAAGGAGUUGGAGUUCAUCACAGCCGCUGGCGUGGAUGGAUGGAUGGAUGGAUGGAUCCACCCAAAGAUGGAUAAGAAAAGUAGCAUGGAGACAGAUUGGAUAUUCUAAACAUCACUCUCCUGCUGGAAUAGUCUGGAUCUAGUUUUGCCUAGAUGCC